AACGAACGCUGGCGGCAUGCCUAACACAUGCAAGUCGAACGAGACCUUCGGGUCUAGUGGCGCACGGGUGCGUAACGCGUGGGAACCUGCCCUUAGGUUCGGAAUAACUCCCCGAAAGGGGUGCUAAUACCGGAUAAUGUCUUCGGACCAAAGAUUUAUCGCCUUUGGAUGGGCCCGCGUUGGAUUAGCUAGUUGGUAGGGUAAAAGCCUACCAAGGCAACGAUCCAUAGCUGGUCUGAGAGGAUGAUCAGCCACACUGGGACUGAGACACGGCCCAGACUCCUACGGGAGGCAGCAGUGGGGAAUAUUGGACAAUGGGCGAAAGACUGAUCCAGCAAUGCCGCGUGAGUGAUGAAGGCCUUAGGGUUGUAAAGCUCUUUUACCCGGGAUGAUAAUGACAGUACCGGGAGAAUAAGCGCCGGCUAACUCCGUG
Molecule: ribosomal RNA, 433 nt
Filed under: uncultured bacterium
Lineage: Bacteria
Description: partial 16S ribosomal RNA
Rfam family: Bacterial small subunit ribosomal RNA
Source: RNAcentral